UUCACCUUGGAGACCUUAAAGAAAAGAAAAAGAAGGAAAAAAA
Molecule: small RNA, 43 nt
Filed under: Arabidopsis thaliana (thale cress)
Lineage: Eukaryota; Viridiplantae; Streptophyta; Magnoliopsida; Brassicales; Brassicaceae
Description: ATSL020770
Source: RNAcentral